AGCCGUACUUUGGAAAUUUAUAUUCAUUAAAUAAAAGUUAAAAAAAAGAAAAAAAAAACAAACCAAUGGAGAGGAAAUUAAGUAACAAACUAUAUAGAUUCAAAAUGAGGGAGAAGAGGAAACUACUAAAACAGGAAACAAAGUAAGAUGCUAAAUUCAGGUAAAACAUAUCACAAAAUUUUAAAUGUAAAUUAACUAAGUGAUCCAGCUAGAAAUCAAAAUUUUCUUAUUUAAUGGAAAACCAGUUAAUUAUUUGCUAUUUAGGAUACAAUCCUUAAAUGUUUAAGAGUAAAAAUGUUGAAAAUAUACCUACACAUUUUGAAUAGAAGACUCUCUUGAGAUCUGACAAGACAGACUUUCAUGCAGGAACUAUUACUAGAUAUAUUCAGAGAGAUUUCAUAAUGAUAUAGUUAUCAAUUCAGUGGGAAGAUAUAGAAUUCUAAAUUCUUAUGUAGGUUAAUAUGGGAAGAGUUUUAGCACUUGUCUUUUUUUUUCUUAAAAUUUUAAGCUUUUUAUUUAGUGAGAGAAAGAACUUACCUUCAGAAACAGUAAAGAUUCAGGUGAAAACAACAAAGAAAAUUAAGAACAUGCUCAUAAUUCAUAUUCAUAUGAAUUGAACAUGAGUUUUGCUGCACAUAGAAUCUUUCAUAAAAUAAACUUUAUUAGGGUGAGCGUAGUGGCACAGUAGGUUAAGUCAACACUUACAGUGCCCAUGUCCCGUAUCAAAUGCUUAGUUUGAGUCCCUGCUACUCUUCUUUUCCAGCUUUUAUGAAUGUGCCCAGGAGACACAGAAAAUGGUCCAAGUCUUUGAGUUCCUGCCACCCUUGUGGAGUGAGUUCCUGGUUCCUGACUUUGGCCUAGCCUAGUCCCAGCUGUUGCGGGUAUUUGGAGUGUGAACCAGCAGUUGGAAAAUCUCUCUCUCCCUUUUUCUCUCAAUGUUGCUUUUGAUCUGCAAUACAAAGAAAUAAAUUCAAUUUUAAAAAGAUACACUUGAUCAGCAGCCACUUCCCCUCCCAGGUGUAGGUUAGGCUUGACUAACUUGUGUUGACUAAUGAGAGCCAUGUGAGGCAGAAGUUGAAAGGGAUAGGUUUUGUGUUACCAUGUUCCCUUUUCCUUGUGCUGUCAUGGGACAGGAUUCUACUAUGCUUGCUUGGCACGCCUGGGUAACAAAGAUAGUAUGACUUCUGUGAGGAGAGUCCCCUGCCACAAAUGAUGGACCUGUACAAUUCUCAAGAAGGAAAUUACAAGUCUGAAGUCAACAGCAAACCCAGGAAGGAAAGGACAGCAUUUACCAAGAGCAAAUCCAAGGACUAGAAGCAGAAUUUGCCCAUCACAACUAUGUGACUAGACUGAGGAGAUACAAGAUAGCAGAGAAUCUGGAUCUCACCAAAAGACAGAUAAGCUUGGAGAAGUCUCCUGCCAGAUAUCUGGUAUCUGACAUGGGGAAGAAAGAGAAAACAGCUGCAUGGGAAUUUAACAGGGAGUGGUAAAAAGGACAUUUUUACAGAGUGAAGGCUGCUAAAUGUAGGAGUGGGAGAUCCUGCCACUUGACAAAAUCUUUUCCACAGUGCUAAUCAAAGGUGCAAUAUUGUGAAUUUGAAAGCAGCUAAGAUGGGCAGAAUAAACAUCCUGAGAUCUCAAUACCUCUGCCAAGAUAAAUGGAAAAUCCCCACCUUGUUGGAUUAUACUGCAUUGGCGGUAAUGAGAAGGAUUAUGUUUUGUUUGCUACUCAUAAAUCAUUCAGUGGCUCAAUACCAAGUAUUUUCAAAAUAGCCAUCCAUUUUUUUUGGAUGAGUAUAAAAAAGGAAAUAAUUUUGUACACCACAUAAACAGUGGGUUUGUCUUUUGCACAUUUUUAGCAGAAUUUUUCCCAUUCUAGAUUUAUUUAUGUAAAUUACUAUGAAAACAGUUAAUUCAAUUUUGUUUCUGUGAGCCACCAUAUUGUCUGUUCAGCUGUUCUGAGAUGGACUUUCUUACCCAUGAUUUUAUAAUAGUGCUUCUUUCUUUGGAUCAGUAUUUAACACUUAACUUGAGUAAAAGUCAGUUGCUUCUUUUGUGUAGGUUCCACAUACACAAAAAGUUUAUGGUUUAAGAAAUAGUAACAUUAAAGACAGAU
Oryctolagus cuniculus (rabbit) is the source of this 2116-nucleotide non-coding RNA. Lineage: Eukaryota; Metazoa; Chordata; Mammalia; Lagomorpha; Leporidae. The record is from RefSeq and is a predicted model, not a curated record.